Long non-coding RNA from Lactuca sativa (garden lettuce), 1150 nucleotides. RefSeq lists it as uncharacterized. The record is from RefSeq and is a predicted model, not a curated record. Lineage: Eukaryota; Viridiplantae; Streptophyta; Magnoliopsida; Asterales; Asteraceae.
CACGUAUGAACAAAUGUGCUUUCUUGAACCCUUAUAAUAUUCUAGGAGAGGCAUGCCAGAAAAACCCAGAGGGUGUCGUUAGUUAUCUUGUUGAUUCCAUUCGUUUGCACCACGGAAAAUUGUUUCUCAUUGCACCAUAUUUGCAAAAUAAGCAUUGGGUGCUCUUGGUGAUUUCCUUUCGCAAUCGUGUUGUCUAUAUUUUGGAUUCUCUUAAGGAUCGUAUUGAAAAGUCUGCCGACUACCAUUACCUGCUCAAAAAACAUGUGGACAUUGCAACCAACAACUUGGUGGUUUAGAGAGCGGACAUUAUGUUAUGCGCUGGAUGUUUGAUUUCUUGACGACAAGACAACAUGGAUUUCCAAGUAAAGUAAGUACUUUUUUAAUAUUUGUUGAUUUUUUUUAUUGCAACAAAAUAUUUGGUUUGUUAAUGAAUAUGUUUAAUUUUACAUUUAAUAUAGUCCGGUAGCAUUUGGGAUGACAAAAGUCCCUUUGAAGAAAAGAUGUUGGUUGCAACUGUUGCUAUCUGGUCUAGAGAGUUUUUGAAUAACUUUAUGAAUGAUGUGGUCCUAUAAAAAACAUAUAUGGUUAGUUAAUGAAUUCCAAAACUUCCUAAUUUUGGUUUAAUUAUUUUUGUUGGAGUUCUUACAUUUUUACUUUCAUUUGUUUAUUUUUCAGGGAAUUUAGAAGAAACUCACUACAAUUGAUUUUUUGGACAAUCCCUAUGCCAAGUCAUGACAAAUGUUUUUUUUUUCUUUUUUUAUUUGUAAUUUUUCAUGCAAGUUGUAUGAUGUAUGAAAUUACCAAAUCCAUGAUUUCUUUUGCUACUUAGACAAUUGUCUUUGUUUGAUUAUAUUUUAAUCAAUGACUAUUAUGGUUUAUUUAACAUUUCCACAUAAAAACAUUGUUUAUUUUUACAGUAUGUGUUAUAAAUUGAUAGUUUAUAAGUAUUGUACUGUUAUUUUUAUAAAAUGAUAUUAAAAAUAUAUAAGAGUGUUAAAAGGAACCGGUUGCUUAUUUAGAAACCAGGUUCUAAACCUAUUGUGUAAAAAAGGGUAAAAGUCUAUUAUGACCCGGUUGUUUGUAUGAACCGGUAUAUAUUUUGUUUUCAUAUGCCCCGGUUAUAUUGGAGAAAACCGGUUCUAAUAUUCCU